Long non-coding RNA from Ornithodoros turicata, 1032 nucleotides. RefSeq lists it as uncharacterized. The record is from RefSeq and is a predicted model, not a curated record. The transcript has 2 exons. NCBI's taxonomy places the organism in Eukaryota, Metazoa, Arthropoda, Arachnida, Ixodida, Argasidae.
AGGGGGCGUUGCUGCUAGAAGGAUUUAAGCGAACUGCAGAGCGCCGAUGGAGUUCUUUUUCUCCGGGUUCCCGUUCGGUUGGCGGAGGUAAAGACUGCUCUGAGCUGGGUGUGAUUAGACUUCUCCUGCAACGGGACAGCACGGCUCCAAUGUACUGGGCGAGAAUGACAUCCUGUUCACGUACAUACCCCAGGCAGAGGAGGACGACUGAGUGUGAACUCGACACCUUUUGCCGGUUCGGAUUUACUGCUCAUCGAAGCAACGUAAAACCUACAGGCAAGGCGCAUUCAGGCUCUUGUGCUGUCUUAGGCAUUCAGUGCACUACUUCCCCAUAUCGCCUUCAGGCUAAUACAGAGCCCCUUCAAGGAAAAUGCGCCUUCUUCCUGGCCGCACUUAACAGGCUUCGCUCCUGUGACACUGACGAUGGAACUGGACCAGUGCGAAACUGAAGGCUUGCCGCCUUCAAGACACCGACAAAGUGGUGAAUGACCUUCAGCCUGCCCAUAGGGACCGGUAUAUUCCUUCCAGUCGCUAUGUCGUGGUACAGCACCCGAAAAAUCAAACGAUUGCAGACCGAAGUUCUAGCGGAAGGUAGACCCGGCCAGGUCACUCCCCCUCUUUCAGGGAUUAACACUGCAGGAUAGAGGAACAGAAGCGUGUCCAGUACCCUCCUUGUGGAUCCACCGCACAGCGCCUUUGUCGGGCGAAGGAGACACUACGGGGACAGAUGUGGCAGUAGCUGUCCUACAGCAGCAGCUGCGGCGCCGGAACCUCUUCAGAGGGUAUCAGGACUGCAUCCGAUCAUUGAUAUUAGUCACGAGCGUUAUAAAUAAAAUUACGAGAAGUAUCGGUACUCAAGAAUCGACAAGAACCCGGGCUUGAUAAGAGCGCACGAUUGUGGUGUUUGGAGGAAUCUGUUGAAACAUAGGUUUCCGCCUGUUUUCUUUCUCUUUCCUGUUUGGUUGGCCCAAAUAAAGACUACGCAGUGAUAGGUUUCGUUAGGAAGUCAAAUAAAGUUUGGUUUGUGUUGCA